This 151-nucleotide non-coding RNA is filed under the name Corynebacterium urealyticum. RNAcentral's name for it is "TPP sequence". It matches the Rfam family "TPP riboswitch aptamer (THI element)". Rfam says of the family: Vitamin B(1) in its active form thiamin pyrophosphate (TPP) is an essential coenzyme that is synthesised by coupling of pyrimidine and thiazole moieties in bacteria. The previously detected thiamin-regulatory element, thi box was extended, resulting in a new, highly conserved RNA secondary structure, the THI element, which is widely distributed in eubacteria and also occurs in some archaea. Analysis of operon structures identified a large number of new candidate thiamin-regulated genes, mostly transporters, in various prokaryotic organisms. RNAcentral also lists the same sequence under 1 other name. Lineage: Bacteria; Bacillati; Actinomycetota; Actinomycetes; Mycobacteriales; Corynebacteriaceae. The record is from RNAcentral.
AAAUAACGCAAGGGGUGCGGCCCCGACCGCGCGCAAUCCGCGCGAAUGCGCAGGUGGCAGAUAAUUGCCACCAGCCGUCGAGGCCGCUGAGAACACACCCUAAGAACCUGAUCUAGUUCGUACUAGCGAAGGGAUGCUCGCACUAUGCACC